CAGUAGCCGCGGUAAUACCGAGGGUGCGAGCGUUAAUCGGAUUUACUGGGCGUAAAGCGUGCGUAGGCGGCUUCUUAAGUCGGAUGUGAAAUCCCUGAUCUUAACUUAGGAAUUGCAUUCGAUACUGGGAAGCUAGAGUAUGGGAGAGGAUGGUAGAAUUCCAGGUGUAGCGGUGAAAUGCGUAGAGAUCUGGAGGAAUACCGAUGGCGAAGGCAGCCAUCUGGCCUAAUACUGACGCUGAGGUACGAAAGCAUGGGGAGCAAACAGGAUUAGAUACCCCCGUAGUCCCUGUCUCUUAUAC
RNAcentral lists this ribosomal RNA (301 nucleotides) under uncultured bacterium. RNAcentral's name for it is "partial 16S ribosomal RNA". It matches the Rfam family "Bacterial small subunit ribosomal RNA", at positions 509 to 807 of the family's 1533-position model. The record is from RNAcentral.